Molecule: ribosomal RNA, 382 nt
Filed under: uncultured Thiobacillus sp.
Lineage: Bacteria; Pseudomonadati; Pseudomonadota; Betaproteobacteria; Nitrosomonadales; Thiobacillaceae
Description: bacterial SSU rRNA
Rfam family: Bacterial small subunit ribosomal RNA
Source: RNAcentral
UGUAGAGAUACGGAGGUGCCAGUUUACUGGAGCUUGAAAACAGGUGCUGCACGGCUGUCGUCAGCUCGUGUCGUGAGAUGUUGGGUUAAGUCCCGCAACGAGCGCAACCCUUAUCAUUAGUUGCUACGCAGGGGCACUCUAAUGAGACUGCCGGUGACAAACCGGAGGAAGGUGGGGAUGACGUCAAGUCCUCAUGGCCCUUAUGGGUAGGGCUUCACACGUCAUACAAUGGUCGGUACAGAGGGUUGCCAAGCCGCGAGGCGGAGCCAAUCCCACAAAGCCGAUCGUAGUCCGGAUUGUUCUCUGCAACUCGAGAGCAUGAAGUCGGAAUCGCUAGUAAUCGCAGGUCAGCAUACUGCGGUCGAAUACGUUCCCGGGCCUU